AGCCCAGGCGCCGUGUGGCAUCCGGUUUUAAACAGCUCUGCUUAGGAAUGGAAGAGAACCUCUCCGGAACAUGGGAGGGCCCUGGCAGGGCUCCCAGGGCAGAGGAAUGACGCUGCUGCCAACUCAUGACGGAAGUAGGUCUGUGGGAAGGGAGGAGGGACGAGGGCACUGAAGGGAGUGGACGCAACCCGGCAGCAUUUUUCCUGGAAACAACCCUUGCAUGUUUCUUCUGAAAAUCAGGAGAGUUUUUAUCCCUCCAGGCUCUUGUACCCACGGUUGGCCUACCUCCCGUGAGCGCGGUUUUCCCCAAGUGUACGUGUGCUCGUGUUUGUUUGUUUGUUUAUUUUUUUGUGCUCGUGUUUAAAGAAAGAAUAUUAUAAGCUGCUCGUGGUCCCCACCAGGGAACACACUGGGAUAAGAGAAUGCAAGAAACUCAGCUUUGCCUCCUUGUGUUCCCGAGGCAGGAACAGGCCUUCUCGGUUCUCUCUUCCAGGCCCGGCCUGGGAAGCUCACUUUUUCUCUUGGGAAACUCCUCUGCAGCCCAGUACAGCCAGGGGGCCUGUGAGGGCCUCCUCGGGGCCAGACAGGAUGAAGACUCUCAAGGGCGUGCAGAAAUCUGCCCUCCCUGACACUUUCAGCAAGAAGAAGGGUGCGGCCCGUCUCGUCAUCUUGUCAUUUGUAAAAAUCUUCAACUCCAAUCAAAGAGACAAUUCAAAGCUUUGGUUAAGGCUGAGUACACAGUGUGAGAGAGAGAGGCAGAGAAACAGGCAGAGGGAGAAGCAGGCUCCAUGCACCAGGAGCCCGACGUGGGAUUCGAUCCCGGGUCUCCAGGAUCGCGCCCUGGGCCAAAGGCAGGCGCUAAACCGCUGUGCCACCCAGGGAUCCCCAAGAGAGGCAUUUCUAAUAAAA
Molecule: long non-coding RNA, 909 nt
Organism: Nyctereutes procyonoides (raccoon dog)
Lineage: Eukaryota; Metazoa; Chordata; Mammalia; Carnivora; Canidae
Exons: 3
Source: RefSeq, a predicted model, not a curated record